Molecule: ribosomal RNA, 637 nt
Filed under: Naganishia adeliensis
Lineage: Eukaryota; Fungi; Basidiomycota; Tremellomycetes; Filobasidiales; Filobasidiaceae
Description: eukaryotic LSU rRNA
Rfam family: Eukaryotic large subunit ribosomal RNA
Source: RNAcentral
CAUCUGGCCUCAAAUCAGGUAGGACUACCCGCUGAACUUAAGCAUAUCAAUAAGCGGAGGAAAAGAAACUAACAAGGAUUCCCCUAGUAACGGCGAGUGAAGCGGGAAGAGCUCAAAUUUGAAAUCUGGUAGCCUUCGGUUGCCCGAGUUGUAAUCUAGAGAAGUGUUUUCCGUGCCGGCCCAUGUACAAGUCCCUUGGAACAGGGCGUCAUAGAGGGUGAGAAUCCCGUCCUUGACAUGGACCCCCGGUGCUUUGUGAUACACUUUCAACGAGUCGAGUUGUUUGGGAAUGCAGCUCAAAAUGGGUGGUGAAUUCCAUCUAAAGCUAAAUAUUGGCGAGAGACCGAUAGCGAACAAGUACCGUGAGGGAAAGAUGAAAAGCACUUUGGAAAGAGAGUUAAACAGUACGUGAAAUUGUUGAAAGGGAAACGAUUGAAGUCAGUCAUGCUCUUAGGAUUCAGCCGUUCUGCGGUGUAUUUCCUUUGAGUGGGGUCAACAUCAGUUUUGAUCGAUGGAUAAAGGCACGAGGAAGGUAGCACUCUCGGGUGAACUUAUAGCCUCGCGUCAUAUACAUUGAUUGGGACUGAGGAACGCAGCAUGCCUUUAUGGCCGGGAUUCGUCCACGUACAUGCUAGGA